Molecule: long non-coding RNA, 1721 nt
Organism: Dermacentor albipictus
Lineage: Eukaryota; Metazoa; Arthropoda; Arachnida; Ixodida; Ixodidae
Source: RefSeq, a predicted model, not a curated record
CACCGGAUCAACCACCAGUUCUGGAUACGACUGCAUUGCUCGGCUGGCAACAUGGAACCUUAUCUACGACAUGCACAGUACUAAACCACACCCAUUUCGACAGCACUUCGGGCCACGACACCGCAGCUGUGAUGCCACGCUCACUUUUCAUGCUUGUGCAGCCUACAGUUGUGCCUCUGCCUCUUCGAUCAUUUGGUCAAGCCUCUUCGAGCAUCUCAGAGAUGGAGCAGAUGUCUGUCCACAUCCGGUGUCUCCGUUGUUGCACCUUGACUGCUGCCUGACGAAGCUGGGGAUUUGCCUCUCUUCACUGACGCUUGGCUUCUGCUUCACGUUGUUGCACAGACGAAUCGGCCCUCCGACGUCGCUGUCUUUAUUUAUUUGUUUAUUACAUACUGCCAGCCUGGAUGUCAGGCUUUAGGCAGGAGUGGGUUUCAGGACCCAUGAUUCAAGAGAAGGCCAUGGAAUGCGCCGUGCUUUUCGACGUCAGUGGAUUUGACGCAAGCAGUGGAUGGCUGCAUCGCUUUCGGAUGCGCUACGGAAUCAUAUGGAAGCAAGUCUGCGGUGAAGCCAGCAGCGCGGACACCGCUGCUUCAAGCACAUGGCGGGAAGAAAAACUACGCGACGUCGUCAGAGACUAUAGCCCGGACAAUUUAUACAGUGCGGAUGAGACCGGGGUAUUUUACCAACUGCUCCCUAACAAAACCAUGUGCUACAAAGACUACACGUGCAAAGGUGGAAAGCACUCGAUGGUCAGGAUCACAGCAUUGUUUUGCUGUAACGCAUCGGGUACGCAUAAGAUGAAACCUUUAAUCAUCGGUCUCUACACCCACCCAAGGUGCCUUAAAGGGCUUGCAUCGCUCCGAUGUGAUUACACGCAAAACUCAAAGGCUUGGAUGUCGCGUGAUAUGUUCGCAAAGUGUAUCGUGGGCGUGAACAAUGAGACGGUGAGAAAGAAUCGCAAGAUUUUGUUAAUUUUCGACGAUUGCUCACCACACUUAGUGGACACACGUCUCAGUAACAUCAGAGUCGAGUUUCUGCCACCCAACUGCACGUCAAUCCUGCAGCCUCUUGAUCUAGGCAUCAUAAAGAAUGUAAAAUUACACUACAGGAAGCGGCUUGUGCAGCGAAUUCUGGUACAUUUAAGAAUGUAGAAGCCUGACGCGGUUAAUGUGUGGCAGCCAGCAGAAAUGCUCACAGGAGCUUCGUGGAGUGCGAAACCAGCAACGAUAGUGAAUUGCUGGCAAAAAGCAGGUCUGCAUGCAGCAAACUGGACUGCUGUGGACACCAGUCUCGAAGCAGAGGACCAUGGUACUGAUGAAGAGAACAGUGAGCCAGGUGGCUGGCCGGAAUUGUCAAAAAGGCUAGGUGCAGAUAGCCCUUUGUCUUUUGAGGAGUAUGCCGCCUGUGACACCAUGUUGGAGACGUGCGCUGCGCUCACUACCGAAGAUAUUGUAGCAAGUGCAUUAGCUGAAGAAGGCGAAGACAAGGAAGAUUCUACCAGUGAUGACGAAGGGCCAAAUAUAUCUGCCAAAGAGGCACUAAUCGCCCUGGAAAAAGUUAAAGCCUUUGCUGCCCAGCAACUCGCUGUGCCAGAAAAGGUUCUCGAGUGCUUAGACACAGUGACUCAGUUCACAGCUGCUGCAGUGACAGUGACUCAGUUCACAGUGCAGCAGAAGAUCACAGUGUUCUUUGCAAAGUGCUAAUUAGGGGAACUUGAGCAG